This 296-nucleotide unclassified non-coding RNA is filed under the name Hevea brasiliensis (rubber tree). The record is from RNAcentral. Lineage: Eukaryota; Viridiplantae; Streptophyta; Magnoliopsida; Malpighiales; Euphorbiaceae.
UUCGUGCUGAGACAGUGUGCCGUUGUUGUGAUAAACGCCCGCCGAUAAACCCUCCCCGAGAUCGAUCGAACCGCCUGAAAUGACCGAAACUGUCGUUACCCGCUUCGCGCCGUCCCCGACCGGCUUCCUCCAUAUCGGCGGCGCGCGCAGCGCCCUGUUCAACUGGCUUUAUGCGCGCAAGCGCGGCGGCAAGAUGCUGCUGCGGAUCGAGGAUACCGAUCGCGAGCGUUCCACCGAUGCGGCCAUCGAGGCCAUUCUUGAUGGACUGAAAUGGCUCGGCAUCGAAUGGGACGACG